UACGGAGGGUGCAAGCGUUGUCCGGAAUUACUGGGCGUAAAGCGCGCGUAGGCGGCUUUGUAAGUUAGAGGUGAAAGCCCGGAGCUCAACUCCGGAACUGCCUUUAAGACUGCAUCGCUAGAAUUGUGGAGAGGUAAGUGGAAUUCCGAGUGUAGAGGUGAAAUUCGUAGAUAUUCGGAAGAACACCAGUGGCGAAGGCGACUUACUGGACACAUAUUGACGCUGAGGUGCGAAAGCGUGGGGAGCAAACAGG
Molecule: ribosomal RNA, 253 nt
Filed under: uncultured bacterium
Lineage: Bacteria
Description: partial 16S ribosomal RNA
Rfam family: Bacterial small subunit ribosomal RNA
Source: RNAcentral